Molecule: unclassified non-coding RNA, 348 nt
Filed under: soil metagenome
Description: partial contains 5.8S ribosomal RNA, internal transcribed spacer 2, and large subunit ribosomal RNA
Rfam family: 5.8S ribosomal RNA (bases 1-120)
Source: RNAcentral
GAUGAAGAACGCAGCAAAAUGCGAUAAGUAAUGUGAAUUGCAGAAUUCAGUGAAUCAUCGAAUCUUUGAACGCACAUUGCGCCCGCUGGUAUUCCGGCGGGCAUGCCUGUUCGAGCGUCAUUUCAACCCUCAAGCCCCCGGGUUUGGUGUUGGGGAUCGGCUCUGCCCUUCUGGGCGGCGCCGCCCCCGAAAUACAUUGGCGGUCUCGCUGCAGCCUCCAUUGCGUAGUAGCUAACACCUCGCAACUGGAACGCGGCGCGGCCAUGCCGUAAAACCCCAACUUCUGAAUGUUGACCUCGGAUCAGGUAGGAAUACCCGCUGAACUUAAGCAUAUCAAUAAGCGGAGGA